UGGGGAAUAUUGGACAAUGGGCGAAAGCCUGAUCCAGCCAUGCCGCGUGUGUGAAGAAGGUCUUCGGAUUGUAAAGCACUUUAAGUUGGGAGGAAGGGCAGUUACCUAAUACGUAUCUGUUUUGACGUUACCGACAGAAUAAGCACCGGCUAACUCUGUGCCAGCAGCCGCGGUAAUACAGAGGGUGCAAGCGUUAAUCGGAAUUACUGGGCGUAAAGCGCGCGUAGGUGGUUUGUUAAGUUGGAUGUGAAAUCCCCGGGCCAACCUGGGAACUGCAUUCAAAACUGACAAGCUAGAGUAUGGUAGAGGGUGGUGGAAUUUCCUGUGUAGCGGUGAAAUGCGUAGAUAUAGGAAGGAACACCAGUGGCGAAGGCGACCACCUGGACUGAUACUGACACUGAGGUGCGAAAGCGUGGGGAGCAAACAGGAUUAGAUACCCCGGUAGUCCCUGAGCGGGCUGGCAAGGCGCAU
RNAcentral lists this ribosomal RNA (471 nucleotides) under uncultured bacterium. RNAcentral's name for it is "bacterial SSU rRNA". It matches the Rfam family "Bacterial small subunit ribosomal RNA", at positions 355 to 825 of the family's 1533-position model. The record is from RNAcentral.